RNAcentral lists this ribosomal RNA (435 nucleotides) under actinobacterium SCGC AAA278-P03. Its description in RNAcentral is "bacterial SSU rRNA". It matches the Rfam family "Bacterial small subunit ribosomal RNA", at positions 342 to 789 of the family's 1533-position model. Lineage: Bacteria; Bacillati; Actinomycetota; Actinomycetes. The record is from RNAcentral.
CGGGAGGCACCAGUGGGGAAUAUUGGGCAAUGGAGGAAACUCUGACCCAGCGACGCCGCGUGCGGGAUGAAGGCCUUCGGGUUGUAAACCGCUUUCAGCAGGGAAUAAGCGCAAGUGAAGGUACCUGCAGAAGAAGCACCGGCUAACUAUGUGCCAGCAGCCGCGGUAAUACAUAGGGUGCAAGCGUUGUCCGGAAUUAUUGGGCGUAAAGAGCUCGUAGGUGGUUUGUUACGUCGGUUGUGAAAUUCAGGGGCUCAACCCCUGACUUGCAGCCGAUACGGGCAAGCUAGAGUUUGGUAGGGGAGACUGGAAUUCCUGGUGUAGCGGUGGAAUGCGCAGAUAUCAGGAGGAACACCGAUGGCGAAGGCAGGUCUCUGGGCCAAUACUGACACUGAGGAGCGAAAGCGUGGGGAGCGAACAGGAUUAGAUACCCCA